This 253-nucleotide ribosomal RNA is filed under the name uncultured bacterium. RNAcentral describes it as "partial 16S ribosomal RNA". It matches the Rfam family "Archaeal small subunit ribosomal RNA", at positions 474 to 727 of the family's 1478-position model. The record is from RNAcentral.
UACCAGCACCCCGAGUGGUCGGGACGUUUAUUGGGCCUAAAGCAUCCGUAGCCGGUUCUACAAGUCUUCCGUUAAAUCCAACUGCUUAACAGGUGGGCUGCGGAAGAUACUAUAGAGCUAGGAGGCGGGAGAGGCAAGCGGUACUCGAUGGGUAGGGGUAGAAUCCGUUGAUCCAUUGAAGACCACCAGUGGCGAAGGCGGCUUGCCAGAACGCGCUCGACGGUGAGGGAUGAAAGCUGGGGGAGCAAACCGG